This 490-nucleotide ribosomal RNA is filed under the name uncultured bacterium. RNAcentral describes it as "partial 16S ribosomal RNA". It matches the Rfam family "Bacterial small subunit ribosomal RNA", at positions 30 to 507 of the family's 1533-position model. The record is from RNAcentral.
AUUGAACGCUGGCGGCAGGCCUAACACAUGCAAGUCGAACGGUAACAGGAAGCAGCUUGCUGCUUUGCUGACGAGUGGCGGACGGGUGAGUAAUGUCUGGGAAACUGCCCGAUGGAGGGGGAUAACUACUGGAAACGGUAGCUAAUACCGCAUAACGUCGCAAGACCAAAGAGGGGGACCUUAGGGCCUCUUGCCAUCGGAUGUGCCCAGAUGGGAUUAGCUAGUAGGUGGGGUAACGGCUCACCUAGGCGACGAUCCCUAGCUGGUCUGAGAGGAUGACCAGACACACUGGAACUGAGACAAGGUCCAGACUCCUAAGGGAGGCAGCAGUGGGGAAUAUUGCACAAUGGGCGCAAGCCUGAUGCAGCCAUGCCGCGUGUAUGAAGAAGGCCUUCGGGUUGUAAAGUACUUUCAGCGGGGAGGAAGGGAGUAAAGUUAAUACCUUUGCUCAUUGACGUUACCCGCAGAAGAAGCACCGGCUAACUCCGUG